RNAcentral lists this ribosomal RNA (199 nucleotides) under uncultured bacterium. RNAcentral describes it as "partial 16S ribosomal RNA". It matches the Rfam family "Bacterial small subunit ribosomal RNA", at positions 1303 to 1500 of the family's 1533-position model. The record is from RNAcentral.
GGCUGAAAUUACGCCUUCAUGAAGCUGGAAUUGCUAGUAAUGGCAGGUCAGCAUACUGCCGUGAAUACGUUCCCGGGCCUUGUACACACCGCCCGUCACACCAUGAGAGUUGGAAAUACCCGAAGCCUGUGAGCUAACAGUAAUGAGGCAGCAGUCGAAGGUAGAGCCAAUGAUUGGGGUGAAGUCGUAACAAGGUAUC